CUCACAAAUGCUAUUGUAAGAACUACCGGAGGACUUCCCAUAGCUCUUCAAGUUAUAGGUUCAUUUUUAUUCUCAAAAGAAAUGUCAGUAUGGGAAGGCAUUUUAAAGAAGUUGCAAAGUGUUCCCAAUAGUGAUAUGAUGAAGAGGUUGAAAAUCAGUUAUGAUGGAUUGGAAGAUGCAGAGAAACAAAUGUUUCUUGAUACUGUUUGUUUUUUCAUUGGAAUGGAUAAGGCUACUGCUUGUCAUAUAUGGGGAGGGUGUGAUUUUUAUCCAAAAGUAUGACUUAAUGUUCUUUGUGUAAAGUCUUAGUAACAAUUAGUGAAGAUGGUAAGUUAAGGAUGCAUGAUAUGCUUCGGGAUCUUGGAAGGGAAAUUGUUCGUCAAAAGAAUAUAAAAAAGCCAGGGAAGCGUAGUCGAAUAUGGCUUCAAGACGAAGUCUUGGGUGUACUGAUUAAACAAAUGGGAACAAGUAUUUGUGAAGGACUCACUAUUGACUUCAGCCAACUUAAUCUAGACUUGAGCAAUAGAUCAAGGAGUUAAGGUUUGAUGAGCAAAGGAUUUGCUGCAAUGACAGAACUAAGGUUACUCCAAGUCGAUUUUGCACAAUCUUCUGGGAACUUCACCAAUUCAUUUUCAGAACUGAGAUGGCUUAGUUGGAGAGGAUGCCCGGACCAAUAUGCACUAACCAACUUUUGUUUAAAUUUUUUUUGUAUCAAAAGUCUUAAAAUAAUUCAAAUUUCCUUUUAGUCCUUUUUAAGCCAAAUAGAUAAAUUAGUCUAUAUAAUCUAUUUUGCAGAUGGCAGCAAAACUAAAAGUUCUGGAUCUCACUUCCUGUCAUCAACUAUCUAGUACUCUUGAUGUUACAGCAAAUUAACUCUUGGAGAUAUGAGGGGUUGCAGGAGACUAGUGGAACUCCCAGGUCUUCCCUCAACUUUGACAACCCUUGAUGUUCGUAACUGCUCUUCAAUGCAAGACAUCUCUGGUCUUCAUACUUCAAGUGUAACCAGCCUUGAUGUUUGUGUCUGCUCUUCAAUUCGAGACAUCUCAGGCCUUCCCUCAAGUUUGACCAGCUGUAAUGUUAGUCAUUGUUCUUCAAUUCAAGACAUCUCAGGUCUUGCCACAAGUUUGACCAGCCUUAAUGUUAGUCACUGCUCUUCAAUUAGAGAUAUCUCAGGUUUUCCCUCAAGUUUAGCCAAACUUAAUGUUAGUCAUUGCUCUUCCAUUCAAGACAUCUCAGGUCUUGCCUCAAGUUUGACCAGCCUUAAUUUUAGCCAUUGUUCUUCAAUUCGAGACAUCUCAUGUCUUCCCUCUUCAAUUUUGACCAACCUUAAUGCAAGUCACUGCUCUUCAAUUGAAUGCAUCUCAGGUCUUCCCUCAACUUUGAUCUUUCUAGAUGCUAGCUAUUGCAGAUCAAUGAUAAAACUAUCAAGUACAUCAUCUGGAGGCUUGAGAAAUUUAAAGAAAUUACGUCUUGAGAAGUGCAUUAGCCUAGAAGAGAUUAAAGGUGCUGAUGAGAAAUUGGACUCUCUAGAGCUCUUGUCCACCAUUUGGUGCAGAUCAUUAAGAAAACUACCAAACUCAGGGGCUCAAACAAUCUAAGGACUUUAAAGCUCUAUCGGAACGAUCCCAUAUCCAAUUUUGCAGGGGAGGGGAUGGAUGCUCUGGUGGAGUUGAAGAUAGAGUAUUUCCAAUCAUGAAGAAAAAUACCAUAUCUACGAGAUUCGAAAAGGCUGAGGAUACCAUAAAUCAAAGAUUUUCCGGAAUUGUCUGAGAUUGAGGGCCUGGAGGACUUUGAAUACUUAGAAACAUUAUCAAUUAGAGAGGCCAAAUCAUUUAAGACAUUGCCAGAUAUCUCAACCCUGAAGAACCUACUCUAUUUAAGAAUCAGAUGGUGCAACUCAAUGAAAAGAUUACCUGAUCUUUCAAACUUAAAAAAGUUCUGGCAAUUAGAGAUUGUGGAUUGCAUGAAGUUAACCGAAAUUCCAGGCCUUGACAGAUUGGAGUCCUUGAGAGAAUUGAAAAUAGGAGGAUGCAUAUCCAUCUAAAGAUUACCAGAUCUGUCAAACUUAAACAAGUUGAAUGUUCUUUAUAUUAAACGCUGGAAGAAACUAACUGAGAUUCAUGGGGUUGAUGGAUUGGAAUUCUUACAGAAGUUGGAUAUUAGUGGGUGUGAGUCCUUGAAAAGAUUACCAGAUCUUUCAAA
Macadamia integrifolia is the source of this 2202-nucleotide long non-coding RNA. RefSeq lists it as uncharacterized. The record is from RefSeq and is a predicted model, not a curated record. Lineage: Eukaryota; Viridiplantae; Streptophyta; Magnoliopsida; Proteales; Proteaceae. The transcript has 3 exons.